This 447-nucleotide ribosomal RNA is filed under the name uncultured bacterium. RNAcentral describes it as "bacterial SSU rRNA". It matches the Rfam family "Bacterial small subunit ribosomal RNA", at positions 28 to 462 of the family's 1533-position model. The record is from RNAcentral.
GAUGAACGCUAGCUACAGGCUUAACACAUGCAAGUCGAGGGCAGCAUGGUCUUAGCUUGCUAAGGCCGAUGGCGACCGGCGCACGGGUGAGUAACACGUAUCCAACCUGCCGUCUACUCUUGGACAGCCUUCUGAAAGGAAGAUUAAUACAAGAUGGCAUCAUGAGUCCGCAUGUUCACAUGAUUAAAGGUAUUCCGGUAGACGAUGGGGAUGCGUUCCAUUAGAUAGUAGGCGGGGUAACGGCCCACCUAGUCUUCGAUGGAUAGGGGUUCUGAGAGGAAGGUCCCCCACAUUGGAACUGAGACACGGUCCAAAACUCCUACGGGAGGCAGCAGUGAGGAAUAUUGGUCAAUGGGCGAGAGCCUGAACCAGCCCAAGUAGCGUGAAGGAUGACUGCCCUAUGGGGUUGUAAACUUCUUUUUAUAAAGGAAUAAAGUCGGGUAUGGA